GACGAACGCUGGCGGCGUGCUUAACACAUGCAAGUCGAACGGAAAGGCCCUGCUUUUGUGGGGUGCUCGAGUGGCGAACGGGUGAGUAACACGUGAGUAACCUGCCCUUGACUUUGGGAUAACUUCAGGAAACUGGGGCUAAUACCGGAUAGGAGCUCCUGCUGCAUGGUGGGGGUUGGAAAGUUUCGGCGGUUGGGGAUGGACUCGCGGCUUAUCAGCUUGUUGGUGGGGUAGUGGCUUACCAAGGCUUUGACGGGUAGCCGGCCUGAGAGGGUGACCGGCGACAUUGGGACUGAGAUACGGCCCAGACUCCUACGGGAGGCAGCAGUGGGAAAUAUUGCACAAUGGGCCGAAGCCUGAUGCAGAGACGCCGCGUGCGGGAUGACGGCCUUCGGGUUGUAAACCGCUUUCGCCUGUGACGAAGCGUGAGUGACGGUAAUGGGUAAAGAAGCACCGGCUAACUACGUG
Molecule: ribosomal RNA, 468 nt
Filed under: uncultured bacterium
Lineage: Bacteria
Description: partial 16S ribosomal RNA
Rfam family: Bacterial small subunit ribosomal RNA
Source: RNAcentral